This 440-nucleotide ribosomal RNA is filed under the name uncultured bacterium. Its description in RNAcentral is "partial 16S ribosomal RNA". It matches the Rfam family "Bacterial small subunit ribosomal RNA", at positions 338 to 795 of the family's 1533-position model. The record is from RNAcentral.
CCUACGGGAGGCAGCAGUGGGGAAUAUUGCACAAUGGGGGAAACCCUGAUGCAGCGACGCCGCGUGAGCGAUGAAGUAUUUCGGUAUGUACAGCUCUAUCAGCAGGGAAGAAAAUGACGGUACCUGACUCAGAAGCCCCGGCUAACUACGUGCCAGCAGCCGCGGUAAUACGUAGGGGGCAAGCGUUCUCCGGAUUUACUGGGUGUAAAGGGAGCGUAGACGGUCCGGCAAGCCAGAUGUGAAAGCCCGGGGCUCAACCCCGGGACUGCAUUUGGAACUGUAAGGCUAGAGUGUCGGAGAGGCAAGCGGAAUUCCUAGUGUAGCGGUGAAAUGCGUAGAUAUUAGGAGGAACACCAGUGGCGAAGGCGGCCUACUGGACGAUGACUGACGUUGAGGCUCGAAAGCGUGGGGAGCAAACAGGAUUAGAUACCCUGGUAGUC